Molecule: transfer RNA, 69 nt
Filed under: Lampsilis siliquoidea
Lineage: Eukaryota; Metazoa; Mollusca; Bivalvia; Unionida; Unionidae
Description: tRNA-Phe
Source: RNAcentral
GGGUGGAAAAGGGCAGAUGCCAUUUUAACGUUUUCAGUGUUAUGGUUUAGUAUUUAAACUACUUGUCCA